GCAUAUCAAUAAGCGGAGGAAAAGAAACUUACAGGGAUUCCCCUAGUAGCGGCGAGCGAAGCGGGAAGAGCUCAAAUUUAUAAUCUGGCACCUUCGGUGUCCGAGUUGUAAUCUCUAGAAAUGUUUUCCGCGUUGGACCGCACACAAGUCUGUUGGAAUACAGCGGCAUAGUGGUGAGACCCCCGUAUAUGGUGCGGACGCCCAGCGCUUUGUGAUACAUUUUCGAAGAGUCGAGUUGUUUGGGAAUGCAGCUCAAAUUGGGUGGUAAAUUCCAUCUAAAGCUAAAUAUUGGCGAGAGACCGAUAGCGAACAAGUACCGUGAGGGAAAGAUGAAAAGCACUUUGGAAAGAGAGUUAACAGUACGUGAAAUUGUUGGAAGGGAAACGCUUGAAGUCAGACUUGCUUGCCGAGCAAUCGGUUUGCAGGCCAGCAUCAGUUUUCCGGGAUGGAUAAUGGUAGAGAGAAGGUAGCAGUUUCGGCUGUGUUAUAGCUCUCUGCUGGAUACAUCUUGGGGGACUGAGGAACGCAGUGUGCCUUUGGCGGGGGUUUCGACCUCUUCACACUUAGGAUGCUGGUGGAAUGGCUUUAAACGACCCGUCUUGAAACACGGACC
RNAcentral lists this ribosomal RNA (613 nucleotides) under Rhodotorula mucilaginosa. Its description in RNAcentral is "eukaryotic LSU rRNA". It matches the Rfam family "Eukaryotic large subunit ribosomal RNA", at positions 38 to 667 of the family's 3401-position model. Lineage: Eukaryota; Fungi; Basidiomycota; Microbotryomycetes; Sporidiobolales; Sporidiobolaceae. The record is from RNAcentral.